This 1229-nucleotide ribosomal RNA is filed under the name metagenome. RNAcentral's name for it is "bacterial SSU rRNA". It matches the Rfam family "Bacterial small subunit ribosomal RNA", at positions 28 to 1186 of the family's 1533-position model. The record is from RNAcentral.
AGUGAACGCUGGCGGCGUGGAUUGGGCAUGCAAGUCGAGCGAUUCUUUUUUAGAGUCUGCAAGUUUACACUAGUAAAAAUGCAGAAACUUUUAAAGAAUAGCGGCAAACGGGUGAGUAACACGUGGGUAAUUUACCGCUAAGAUGGGAAUAGCCUCGCGAAAGCGUGGGUAAUGCCCAAUAUGACCACGAUUUGGCAUCAAGAUGUGGUAAAAGCAGGGGACCGUAAGGCCUUGUGUUUAGCGAUGAGCCCGCGACCUAUCAGCUAGUUGGUGAGGUAAUGGCCCACCAAGGCUAAGACGGGUAGCUGGUCUGAGAGGAUGGUCAGUCACACUGGGACUGAGACACUGCCCAGACUCCUACGGGAGGCUGCAGUCGAGAAUCUUUAGCAAUGGGCGAAAGCCUGACUAUGCGACGCCGCGUGAGGGAUGAAGGCCUUCGGGUUGUAAACCUCUUUCGAUUGGGAAGAACAUCCAUGACGAUAACAUUGUCAUGGACUGACGUUACCAAAUGAAGAAGCCACGGCCAACUCCGUGCCAGCAGCCGCGGUAAUACGGAGGUGGCAAGCGUUACUCGGAAUCACUGGGUGUAAAGGGCAGGUAGGUGUCUUAAUAAGUGGGAGGUGAAAUCCUUCGGCUCAACCGAAGAACAGCCUUUCAAACUGUUAGGAUUGAGUGUGAGAGAGGAAAGCGGAACUCUCGGUGUAAGGGUGAAAUCUGUAGAUAUCGAGAGGAACACCAGCAGCGAAGGCGGCUUUCUGGAUCAUUACUGACACUGAGCUGCGAAAGCUAGGGGAGCAAACAGGAUUAGAUACCCUGGUAGUCCUAGCCGUAAACGAUGAGUACUUGGUGUCCUGGUUCACGCCGGGGUGCCGAAGUUAACACGUUAAGUACUCCACCUGGGAACUACGGCCGCAAGGCUAAAACUCAAAGGAAUUGACGGGGGCCCGCACAAGCGGUGGAACAUGUGGUUCAAUUCGACGAUACGCGAAGAACCUCACCAGGGCUUGACAUAUAGGUAGUAGGAACCUGAAAGGGAGACGACUCGUCAAAUCGAGAGCCUAUACAGGUGUUGCAUGGCUGUCGUCAGCUCGUGUCGUGAGAUGUUGGGUUAAGUCCCGCAACGAGCGCAACCAUCAUUCUUAGUUGCCACUUGUUUUUUGGGAAACUGAGAAACAAAGCACUCUAAGAGGACUGCCUGCGAUAAGCAGGAGGAAGGUGGUGACGACGUC